CAGGGAAUCUUCCGUAAUGGACGAAAGUCUGACGGAGCAACGCCGCGUGAGUGAUGAAGGUUUUCGGAUCGUAAAGCUCUGUUGUUAGGGAAGAACAAGUGCAAGAGUAACUGCUUGCACCUUGACGGUACCUAACCAGAAAGCCACGGCCAACUACGUG
This 160-nucleotide ribosomal RNA is filed under the name uncultured bacterium. RNAcentral's name for it is "partial 16S ribosomal RNA". It matches the Rfam family "Bacterial small subunit ribosomal RNA", at positions 355 to 507 of the family's 1533-position model. The record is from RNAcentral.